Molecule: ribosomal RNA, 2928 nt
Filed under: Salmonella enterica subsp. enterica serovar Typhimurium
Lineage: Bacteria; Pseudomonadati; Pseudomonadota; Gammaproteobacteria; Enterobacterales; Enterobacteriaceae
Description: partial 23S ribosomal RNA
Rfam family: Bacterial large subunit ribosomal RNA
Source: RNAcentral
GGGUUGUGAGGUUAAGCGACUAAGCGUACACGGUGGAUGCCCUGGCAGUCAGAGGCGAUGAAGGGCGUGCUAAUCUGCGAUAAGCGCCGGUAAGGUGAUAUGAACCGUUAUAACCGGCGAUACCCGAAUGGGGAAACCCAGUGUGAUUCGUCACACUAUCAUUAACUGAAUCCAUAGGUUAAUGAGGCGAACCGGGGGAACUGAAACAUCUAAGUACCCCGAGGAAAAGAAAUCAACCGAGAUUCCCCCAGUAGCGGCGAGCGAACGGGGAGGAGCCCAGAGCCUGAAUCAGCAUGUGUGUUAGUGGAAGCGUCUGGAAAGGCGCGCGAUACAGGGUGACAGCCCCGUACACAAAAGCGCAUGUGCUGUGAGCUCGAUGAGUAGGGCGGGACACGUGGUAUCCUGUCUGAAUAUGGGGGGACCAUCCUCCAAGGCUAAAUACUCCUGACUGACCGAUAGUGAACCAGUACCGUGAGGGAAAGGCGAAAAGAACCCCGGCGAGGGGAGUGAAAAAGAACCUGAAACCGUGUACGUACAAGCAGUGGGAGCACCCUUCGGGGUGUGACUGCGUACCUUUUGUAUAAUGGGUCAGCGACUUAUAUUCUGUAGCAAGGUUAACCGUAUAGGGGAGCCGGAGGGAAACCGAGUCUUAACCGGGCGUUAAGUUGCAGGGUAUAGACCCGAAACCCGGUGAUCUAGCCAUGGGCAGGUUGAAGGUUGGGUAACACUAACUGGAGGACCGAACCGACUAAUGUUGAAAAAUUAGCGGAUGACCUGUGGCUGGGGGUGAAAGGCCAAUCAAACCGGGAGAUAGCUGGUUCUCCCCGAAAGCUAUUUAGGUAGCGCCUCGUGAAUUCAUCUCCGGGGGUAGAGCACUGUUUCGGCUAGGGGGCCAUCCCGGCUUACCAACCCGAUGCAAACUGCGAAUACCGGAGAAUGUUAUCACGGGAGACACACGGCGGGUGCUAACGUCCGUCGUGAAGAGGGAAACAACCCAGACCGCCAGCUAAGGUCCCAAAGUCAUGGUUAAGUGGGAAACGAUGUGGGAAGGCCCAGACAGCCAGGAUGUUGGCUUAGAAGCAGCCAUCAUUUAAAGAAAGCGUAAUAGCUCACUGGUCGAGUCGGCCUGCGCGGAAGAUGUAACGGGGCUAAACCAUGCACCGAAGCUGCGGCAGCGAACGUAUCACCCAAGACAACUUUACGGAGUUGACGAUUGACGGAGCGAAGCGACGUCAAAGCGUUCAUUAAAGUCGAGUUGGCUUAGGGAUACGUUCGUUGGGUAGGGGAGCGUUCUGUAAGCCUGUGAAGGUGUGUCGUGAGGCAUGCUGGAGGUAUCAGAAGUGCGAAUGCUGACAUAAGUAACGAUAAAGCGGGUGAAAAGCCCGCUCGCCGGAAGACCAAGGGUUCCUGUCCAACGUUAAUCGGGGCAGGGUGAGUCGACCCCUAAGGCGAGGCCGAAAGGCGUAGUCGAUGGGAAACGGGUUAAUAUUCCCGUACUUGGUGUUACUGCGAAGGGGGGACGGAGAAGGCUAUGUUGGCCGGGCGACGGUUGUCCCGGUUUAAGCGUGUAGGUGUGUGUUCCAGGUAAAUCCGGUUCACUUUAACACUGAGGCGUGACGACGAGGCACUACGGUGCUGAAGCAACAAAUGCCCUGCUUCCAGGAAAAGCCUCUAAGCAUCAGGUAACAUCAAAUCGUACCCCAAACCGACACAGGUGGUCAGGUAGAGAAUACCAAGGCGCUUGAGAGAACUCGGGUGAAGGAACUAGGCAAAAUGGUGCCGUAACUUCGGGAGAAGGCACGCUGACACGUAGGUGAAGUGAUUUACUCAUGGAGCUGAAGUCAGUCGAAGAUACCAGCUGGCUGCAACUGUUUAUUAAAAACACAGCACUGUGCAAACACGAAAGUGGACGUAUACGGUGUGACGCCUGCCCGGUGCCGGAAGGUUAAUUGAUGGGGUCAGCGCAAGCGAAGCUCCUGAUCGAAGCCCCGGUAAACGGCGGCCGUAACUAUAACGGUCCUAAGGUAGCGAAAUUCCUUGUCGGGUAAGUUCCGACCUGCACGAAUGGCGUAAUGAUGGCCAGGCUGUCUCCACCCGAGACUCAGUGAAAUUGAACUCGCUGUGAAGAUGCAGUGUACCCGCGGCAAGACGGAAAGACCCCGUGAACCUUUACUAUAGCUUGACACUGAACAUUGAGCCUUGAUGUGUAGGAUAGGUGGGAGGCUUUGAAGUGUGGACGCCAGUCUGCAUGGAGCCGACCUUGAAAUACCACCCUUUAAUGUUUGAUGUUCUAACGUGGACCCGUAAUCCGGGUUGCGGACAGUGUCUGGUGGGUAGUUUGACUGGGGCGGUCUCCUCCUAAAGAGUAACGGAGGAGCACGAAGGUUGGCUAAUCCUGGUCGGACAUCAGGAGGUUAGUGCAAUGGCAUAAGCCAGCUUGACUGCGAGCGUGACGGCGCGAGCAGGUGCGAAAGCAGGUCAUAGUGAUCCGGUGGUUCUGAAUGGAAGGGCCAUCGCUCAACGGAUAAAAGGUACUCCGGGGAUAACAGGCUGAUACCGCCCAAGAGUUCAUAUCGACGGCGGUGUUUGGCACCUCGAUGUCGGCUCAUCACAUCCUGGGGCUGAAGUAGGUCCCAAGGGUAUGGCUGUUCGCCAUUUAAAGUGGUACGCGAGCUGGGUUUAGAACGUCGUGAGACAGUUCGGUCCCUAUCUGCCGUGGGCGCUGGAGAACUGAGGGGGGCUGCUCCUAGUACGAGAGGACCGGAGUGGACGCAUCACUGGUGUUCGGGUUGUCAUGCCAAUGGCACUGCCCGGUAGCUAAAUGCGGAAGAGAUAAGUGCUGAAAGCAUCUAAGCACGAAACUUGCCCCGAGAUGAGUUCUCCCUGAGACUUAGAGUCUCCUGAAGGAACGUUGAAGACGACGACGUU